Molecule: ribosomal RNA, 484 nt
Filed under: uncultured bacterium
Lineage: Bacteria
Description: partial 16S ribosomal RNA
Rfam family: Bacterial small subunit ribosomal RNA
Source: RNAcentral
AUUGAACGCUGGCGGCAUGCCUUACACAUGCAAGUCGAACGGCAGCACGGGAGUAAUCCUGGUGGCGAGUGGCGAACGGGUGAGUAAAGCAUCGGAACGUGCUCAGUCGUGGGGGAUAACGUAGCGAAAGCUACGCUAAUACCGCAUACGAUCUGUGGAUGAAAGCGGGGGACCGUAAGGCCUCGCGCGAUUGGAGCGGCCGAUGUCAGAUUAGGUAGUUGGUGAGGUAAAGGCUCACCAAGCCGACGAUCUGUAGCUGGUCUGAGAGGACGACCAGCCACACUGGGACUGAGACACGGCCCAGACUCCUACGGGAGGCAGCAGUGGGGAAUUUUGGACAAUGGGCGCAAGCCUGAUCCAGCAAUGCCGCGUGCAGGAUGAAGGCCUUCGGGUUGUAAACUGCUUUUGUACGGAGCGAAAAGGCUUCCACUAAUACUGGGGGCUCAUGACGGUACCGUAAGAAUAAGCACCGGCUAACUACGUG